Molecule: ribosomal RNA, 253 nt
Filed under: uncultured bacterium
Lineage: Bacteria
Description: partial 16S ribosomal RNA
Rfam family: Bacterial small subunit ribosomal RNA
Source: RNAcentral
UACGGAGGAUCCAAGCGUUAUCCGGAAUCAUUGGGUUUAAAGGGUCCGUAGGCGGCCCGAUAAGUCAGUGGUGAAAUCUCCCGGCUCAACCGGGAAAUGGCCAUUGAUACUGUCGGGCUUGAAUUAUUAGGAAGUAACUAGAAUAUGUAGUGUAGCGGUGAAAUGCUUAGAUAUUACAUGGAAUACCGAUUGCGAAGGCAGGUUACUACUAAUGGAUUGACGCUGAUGGACGAAAGCGUGGGUAGCGAACAGG